UUUAUUAUAUUUAUAGUUGUACAAUGAUCAUCACAACCCAAUUUUGUAGCAUGUCCGUCCCCAAACCCCAGCCCAUCCACCAACCCCCCAAACUGUCUCAUUUGGAAAACAAGUUUUUCAAAGUCUGUGAGUCAGUAGUAUCUGCUCUGCAAAGAAGUUAGUCAUGUCCUUUUUUUAGAUUCUACAUGCAAGUGAUAGCAUAUGAUGUUGAUGUCUCACUGUCUGACUGAUUUCAGUUAGCAUGAUAGCUUCCAGGUCCAUCCAUAUUGCUGCACAUGAUGUCAAUUCUUUACUUUUAAUGGCUGAGUAAUAUUUCAUUGUGUACAUGUACCACAUCUUCUUUAUCCACCCUUCUGUCAAUGGACAUUUAUUUAGGUUGUUUCCAUGUCUUGGCUAUUGUAUAGAGUACUGCAGUGAACAUUGGAGUACAUAUAUCUUUUCGAGUAAUGGUUUUCUCUGGAUAGAUGCCCAGGAGUGGGAUUGCUGGAUCAAAUGGUAAUUCUAUUUUUAGUUUUCUGAGGAAUCUCCAUACUGUUUGUCACAGUGGUUGCACCAAAUUACAUUCCCACCAACAGUGUAAUAAGGUUCCCAGGCUAGGAGUCAAAUUAGAGCUACAACUGCCGGCCUGCGCCACAGCCACAGCAACACAGGAUCCGAGCCGUGUCUGCAGCCACAGCCAGAUCCUUAACCCACUGAGCAAGGCCAGGGAUCGAACCCGCAACCUCAUGGUUCCUAGUCAGAUUCAUUUCCACUGCACCAUGACAGGAACUCCACAAACCCCAAUUUUUUAAUGUACACUUUAUUUAUUAAAAUGUUAUUAGUAGACUUUUAAUGUUCUGUUAAUUUCAGGUAUACAGCAAAGUGAAUCAGUUAUUCAUAUAUCCAUUCCUUUUCAGAUUCUUUUCCCAUAGAUGUUAUUACAGAAUGUUGAGUAGAUUCCCCUGUGCUCUACAGUAGGUCCUUGUUAUUUAUUUUAUAUAGUAGUGUGUAUAUGUCAAUUCCAACCUCCUAAUUUACCCCUCCCUGUAACAUUUCCCCUUUGGUAAUCAUAAGUUUGGUUUUGAAAUCUUUGAGUCUGUUCUGUUUUUGUGAAUAAGUUUUUAUGUAUCAUUUUUUAUUAGCUUCUACAUGGUAGUGAUCUCAUGUGAUACUUGUCUUUAUCUGACUUUGCUUAGUAUGUUAAUUUCUAGGUCCAUUCAUGUUGUUGCAAAUGGCAUUAUUUCAUCUUUUUUGUGGCCGGUAAUAUUUUAUUGUAUAUAUGUACCACAUCCUCUUUAUCCAUUCCUCUCUUGAUGGACGCAGGUUGCUUCCAUGUCUUGGCUAAUGUAAAUAGUGCUGCAGUGAACAUUGGAAUGCACGUAUCUUUUCAAAUUAUGGUUUUCUCCAGAUAUAUGCCCAGCAGUGGGAUUGCUGGAUCACAUGGUAGUUAUAUAUUUAGGGUUUUUUUUUUUAAUUCAUGUGUUUGUUUUUUUAAGUUUUAUUGAGGUAUAGUUAAUUUACAAGUUUGUGAAAAUUUCUACUGUAUGACAAAGUGACCCAGUCAUGCACAUAUCCAUUCUCUCAGAUUCUUUUCCCACAUAGAUUAUCACAGAAUACUAGGUAGAGUUCUCUGUGCUAUACAGCAGAUCCCUGUUGGCCAGUCAUUCUGUAUACUUCCGUGUGCACAUGCCAGUCCUAAGCCUCCAGUCCAUUUCUCCCACCCCCGCAACCUGUCUCCUUUGGUAACCAUGAGUUGUUCAAGUCUGUGGGUCUGUUUCUGUUCUGCAAAUAAGUUCAUUUGUAUCCUUUUUUUAGAUUCCACAUAUAGGUGAGGUGAUGUUUGUUCUUCACUGUCUGACUAACUUCCCUUGAGUUUCUAGGUCCAUCCGUGUUGCUGCAAAUGGCAUUAUUUCAUUCUUUUUAUGCUGAAUAAUAUUCCAUUGUAUAUGUACCACAUCUUUAUCCAUUCCUCUGUCGAUGAACAUUUAGGUUGCUUCCAUGUCUUAGCUAUUAUAAACAGUGCUUCAAUGAACAUUUGGGUGCAUAUAUCUUUUUGAAUGAUGGUUUUCUCUGGAUAGAUGCCUAGGAGUGGGAUUGCUGGAUCAUAUGGUAGUUCUAUUUUUAGUUUUUUGAGGACCUCCAUACUGUUUUCCAUAGUAGUUGCACCAAUGUGCAUUCCCACCAACAGUGUAAAAAAAGAGAGAGGACUCAAAUCAAUUAAAUUAGAAAUGAAAAAGAAGUUACAGCAGACAUCACAGAAAUACAAAGGAUCAUAAGAGACUACUACAAGAAGCUAUAUGCUAAUAAAAAUGGACAACUUCGAAGAAAUGGACGAAUUUUUAGAAAGGUACAAUCUUCCAAGAAUAAACCAGGAAGAAAUAGAAAAGAUGCAUGGACCAAUCACAAGUACUGAAAUUGAAGCUGUGAUUAAAGAACUUCCAACAAACAAAAGUCCAGGACCAGAUGGCUUCACAGGCGAAUUCUAUCAAAAAUUUAGAGAAGAGUUAACACCUAUCCUGAAACUAUUCCAAAAAAUGGCAGAGGAAGGAACACUCUAUAUUUAGUUUUUUUUAAGGAAUCUCCAAACUGUUCUCCAUAGUUCCAAACCCCAGUUGUAAGUAAUGUGAGUGAUAUAGAAAUUGCGUUUCUUCUUAAAUCUUACCCUUCAGGGUGUUCCCUUGUGGCGCAGCAUGUUAAGGAUCUGGUGUUGUCGCUGCAGCAGCUCAGGAUGCUCUUGUGGCACAGGUUCAGUCCCUGGCCUGGGAACAUCUAUAUGCU
This 2757-nucleotide long non-coding RNA is filed under the name Sus scrofa (pig). RNAcentral's name for it is "lncRNA (ENSSSCG00000043870.2)". The record is from RNAcentral. Lineage: Eukaryota; Metazoa; Chordata; Mammalia; Artiodactyla; Suidae.